RNA transcript from Ficedula albicollis (Collared flycatcher), 3912 nucleotides. It is a transcript of the gene named tocopherol (alpha) transfer protein-like, with no coding region annotated. The transcript has 6 exons. The record is from RefSeq and is a predicted model, not a curated record. Lineage: Eukaryota; Metazoa; Chordata; Aves; Passeriformes; Muscicapidae.
CGGGGCCCGGACGCGGCUGCUCCGGUAACGGGCGGGUUGUGGGCCCGGGAGCUCCGGUACGGGCGGGCUGUGUGACCCUGGAGCUCCGAUUCCUGCUGCAUUAUGUCAGGAGAGAGCGACUGCACCAGGACAAGUCCGUCAGCAGGGUCUCCGUCGGACAAUGAGCUCCUGCCAGACCGGCCAAAGUAUGUCUGUGCCCUGUCUCCUGAUCUUGUCACCAAAGCCCGGGAGGAGCUCCAGGAGAAGCCUGAGUGGAGGCUGCGUGACGUGCAGGCACUCCGAGAUAUGGUGUGCAAGGACUACCCUUCCCUGGGCACGUGCCUGGAUGAUGCUUUUUUGCUAAGGUUCCUCCGAGCCAGGAAAUUCGAUUACGAUCGAGCGCUUCAGCUCCUGGUGAACUACCACACCUGUAGGAGGACCUGGCCAGAGGUGUUCAGUAACCUGAAGCCAUCUGCAAUAAAGCCUGUGCUGGAGUCAGGCUUUGUCACAGUGCUGCCUCACCAGGACCCACAGGGACGCCACGUCGUCUGCAUCCGCCCAGACAGAUGGACACCCAGUAAUUAUCCGAUUACUGAGAACAUUCGUGCCAUAUACUUAACCUUAGAAAAACUCAUUCAGUCCGAAGAGACCCAGGUGAAUGGAAUUGUAAUCCUGGCAGACUACAAAGGAGUCAGCUUAUCUAAGGCGUCUCAUUUUGGUCCUUUUGUAGCCAAAAAAGUGAUUGGAAUUCUUCAGGAUGGAUUCCCCAUUCGAAUAAAGGCCGUUAACAUAAUAAAUGAGCCUCGUAUAUUCAAAGGCAUUUUUGCAAUCAUCAAGCCUUUUCUGAAGGAAAAGAUUGCAAACAGGUUUUUUCUACAUGGCUGCGAUCUGAAUUCCCUUCACCAAAACAUUCCUCCAGUGAUCCUUCCUGAAGAGUAUGGUGGUACUGCAGGCAAGCUGGACAUCUCUGCCUGGAACGAGCUGCUGCUGGCCUCUGAAGAGGACUUCCUGCAUGAUUUCUCAGAGCUGGUGCUGCCCUGUGACAGCUCUCCCCACGACCUGCUAAUGAGUGGGGAUGCUGAUGAAAAGCAGUGUGAUGAUUCCCUUCGAGGGAUGAAACCUCAGCUCUAUUACUGUUACUAACAAACCACUGGAGGGAAGUUUUCCAGCACAGUUAAGAUCUGCUGUGCUAGGUGAUGUUGGGAACUCUGCCUUACUCCUAAACCUGCAUUUUAGGGACAGACUGCUGAGGCACUUUACACUGUAGAACCAAAGGAAGCUGGAGAGGGCACAAUGGGGGCAGGGCAGAGUUCAGGAAGGGUAAAAGCAAAGAGCACAAGUUAUGUAGAAGACUUGAGGCUCAUCAACCUCUGUGUGAAUGGUGCAAACUGGCCUAUUCUUUCUAAUGAUAAAGGGAAAAAUUAUUGCAGAUAGGUAAGCUUGACAAUUUCUUGUCCCAGCCCCACACAGGUGAAAAGUGAGGAUGAUUUCUGAGCUUUGUGAUUAUCUGGUCCCUUCCCCUUCUGCAAACACGAGUAAUCCAAGACAAGAAAAUGGCUCUUGAACCCUGCAAAAUAUAAUUCUGUAGUGAAGAUUGCUUAAAACCAUAAAAGUCUAACUUGGCCUAUCGUCUGUCACGUGGUUCAGAUUGUGAGUUGGUGUUUCUGAAAUAUCUCAGUGAAUAUUUGUUUCAAAUUAAUACAGAACAAAAUUUACUCAUGAAUGCCUGUAUGGAGAUAAUCUCUUAAACUUUCUUACAGUUGGAAGAACUGUGACUGAUGGAUUAACUACCAUAACAUCUAUACCAAGGUUUAUACAGCAGAUGCAAUCUUCAUUUUCAGAAAACAGCAAGUUUUUCAGAUAAUUUACUAAUCAAUUAUUUUAAUCAGACAACAGCUUCAAAUAAGGAAGUUCAGGACCAAAUAAAAGAAAGCUGUGUCAGCCACCUUCCCCCAUUGAUAGUUCUUUUCUGGUUGAGAUAAGGAAUUGGGUAAGUACCUCACACCUAGGAUGUGUGAGGUUUUGUAGCAGUUGGCAUGUGAUGUAUAGAAGGCAAUACUUCAUGAAAGACAGCAAGGUGCUGCUUUAGCUUAUUACUUUGGGCUGAAUUUGAGUUCACAGUCUGUGAAACCAAAUGCAGACAGGCUUUUUAAAAGCACAUUCUUAAAUUUCCUGAUAUUGUAGCAUUUUGUUCACUGUGCUUGUCAGCUCUUCUGUGAAAUGUUACAACUUGGUUUUUAACUUUGUUGACCUCUUUCGUCUUUGGUUGUCAUGUUCCUGUAUGAAGUUAGACUUGAAUCAUCUCUGUGAUAUUUACCCAUAACUUGUAUGCCUGUGCUUCUAGGUCUUUGUUUAGAGACAGAACUAACGUUGAUGUCAAAUCAGGGUGAGAUACCUGUGUCUGAAUAAGCUGUUCCCACUCCCCAGGUUCAUUUUGUUUAAUGAUCUUGAAUUAGAACUUAACUCUCAGCACACUCUUUGCACACAUUUGUCUGCACUGUAAUGGUGUGGAGAUGGGAAACCUCACUAGGACGAGGAAAGCACAGUCUGUUACUUCAAGGUGAAACAAUUCACUGUUUGGUGGAAAAGAACAUCCCUUCUAAUUGGGAACUUAUCACUAGAGCACUUUCUCUGGAUGAAAUCUUGAUGUAGUGCCAAAUGUGAUUAUAGGCACCAGUCACAUUUCUGUAAAUAUAAAACUAAAUUAUCUUGAGGAUCUCAGACAUUCAUUUUUCAAAGUGCCAAACUCUGUUUUGAAUGUCUUUCUUCUUCUCAGCCCCCUUGCAGCAUGACUGCACUGCCAAAAGGAGAUUCCUCUACGACUGUAACAUCUUCCUGACCUGGCAGCAGGCCUCAUCCUGGAACUAAGGGUUGGCAAAUGCCAUACCUGUCAUGCCAACUUUAUAAAAAGAGACUGGGUUCUGAAAAGGGGUAAAACCAUGAAGCUUUUUUUCUUUUAUGGGUGGCAGUUCAGAAUCUGUAGGAGCAGAAAACUCAUCACAUGAACAGUUGUAGAUUAAAGGUGUGAAGAGAUUAAUUUUCCUCAGUGGUAGCAUCUCAUUUUUCGUACCUUUACUUGUAACUCCUUUUUGAUAACUAAUACCUUUAGUGCAGGGAAAAAACAAACUACCAUUUUCAUCUACUUAAAACAAGGUAAAGAGUACUGCUAGGCAGCUUGUCCUUUGUGUCCAGAAUAUGCUCUGUGUUUUGCAGAAAAUAAUUCAGUUUUUUGACACCUAGAAACCAGUAGCACACAGCACCAGGACUUGAACAGAUAAGUGGCUGCCCACACUGCUGAGCUGCUAGAACAGAGAGAAUGGUGACUUUGUUGUUUUAGUGCCUCUUCAUUCCAGUCACAAUGUACAACUGAAGAAAACAGAAUGGACCGUUUUGCCUAGAGACAAAGGCCUGACUGAUUGUCUCUCCUUAAUUGUGUUGUAGGGUUAGAAGUGGGGGUGUAUUGACUAUAGGAACAGCUACUUUCAUCCCCUUAUGUAACUACUAGAGAGAGUGGUUGGGUAUUCAAAAUUCAAUUUAGUGUCCUUCAAACAGAAAUAAAUCUAGUGGUGUUCAGCAGAAGGCUGAGGAACCUCUGCAAAACUCACCUUUUUUCAGGCUUUUCUAUUUUCUUGCAUGCCUUUAAUAGUAGGCAGACAAGAUUCACCUCACCCUCUUCUUUCCUCUGUUCACUAAGAAUAAAGAAUAUGAUUUAGACAUAAUAAAUGAGACUAUAUGGUUGUGCUGGGUUUGGCUGGGGUAGAAUUUUUUUCACAGGAAUCUGUGUGGCACUGUGAGUGAGCAGCUGGCUGGGGUUAAACCACAAUUGCCAGUACUGAAAAGUGCCAGUCUUGUGCCUCCAGAACUUCUUUUUCUUAAAGCUGGCUCUUGGGCAGCGGAUGUCAGGAUGCUGAAUUAAGCCAGGCUUUAUCAGGC